GCCGAGCUAAUUAACGCAAGCUUAUAACCCAAGUGGGGGCAUCAAAGUGUUGGAACGCUGGUCUGGUCUCAGCUGGUCGGGUCUGUCGUGGCUCUAUUCUGGCCCGCCCGCUCCAAGCCGGGAGUUGAGCCGUGUGGAUUGGGCGAAGGCUCAGGCUUCACGGUUCCUAGAGCGGAGGGCACCGCGUAAGGCUGGCUUCACAGAGCAACGAUCACCUCCCGCCCUUGGCAGUGGAAGGAUAACGGGUCGGUGCCACCCGGAUCCAUCAUGCCCCGCUGGACCGUUCCAAUUGAACCAACGCUUUUUGUAUUUUUUUGCUUUCUUUACCGUAAAUCUCUGUUUUAAUUCGAAUGCUUUUGUGGCGUAUACCAAAAUCCCAAAUCAUCUGACUCAUUUAAACAUCUGUGGUGCUGAUUUUGGUGGUGCCGGCGACGCAUUGCCGGAGCAGUGGUGGUGCAACAAAACUCGGAAAAAAUGUUGACUUCGCUGAAAACAUAGUUGGCGCAAAUGCAAUCGUCUUCCUUUUCGACAAUGGCAUUACAGCAAUCUUGUUGAAUGGCCGGUUAUCGAGUCCGAUAAGAUACACAAAUCUCAUCGUAACAAGUAGCAGAAGCAGUGUGGUAAGCUCCAAGGAACUUUUCAAGCUUAGGAUGGGGGGAGAGAGCCGGUGUUUUGGGUGGAGCAGGAGAGCUGGAAUCGGAAGCAGCCAAGCGUUGUGUCAGUGCUUAAACAAAAGAGAAGGAAAAACACAGCAAGCACUCCUCCUUUCAUCAUCUUUGCUAAAUUUGAUGAAUCACAAGUGAAAUAUAAGUGAGUUGAGUUGCAUGGUGAAUGUCAAAACUUAAAUUGAUAAUUAUCAACAUUUAAAUGAGAUUGAUUUGAUUGUAUCGAUCCAAUUAGUUGAUCGGCGUUAGUCUCAUCUCCUCCAGAAGCAAAAUCCAAGUGUUUUAGUGUCCUUACCCAACCUACAGCCGCAUCACCCCACUCGCUCCCACACCAGGUAGUUCUAAUGGUGCUUCCUUUUCUCAACACUGAGUAAUCUUAUUAUUUUUAAUUUCUUGCAGGAACUUUAAUCCAUAUACAUGAUCACUUGAAAUUUUACCCUUAAAUAAAAAGAAAUGGGAAGAUAAUUGUGUGAGAGUAUGCAGAAUCUAAACUUUAGGAACACCACUUGUCGUUUUGAGUUUUUUUCUUUUGGGAGUUUUAAUUGUCGAUUCAUCCCUUUUUUAAUGUUUGUCCACAACAACGUAAAUCUCAAACUCCCGAAGUUGCGAUUGAGAAAUACAAUUUGAUUAAAUGUGGCCAAAAUUUUGAGUUGCCAAAGUACAAGUUAAGAGAGAACCACAACAACUACAACUUGUCUCACAUCGACAAUCAGCAGCUAUAAACAACGCUUUAUAUGUUGUGCACAAGCCGCACAUCCCGUCGAGCUUAGCAACGCAAGCUUGUAACCCGAGUGGGGACAUUAAGGUGUUGGGACGCUGGUUCUGUCUUAAGCCGGCCGGGUCCGAUGUGGCUCUUUUCUGGCCCGCCCAUUCCAAGCUGGGAGUUGGGCCGUGGAGCUUGGGCGAAGGCCUGGGCUCCCUGGUUCCUAGAGUGGAGAGCACCGCGUAAGGCUGGCUUCACAGAGCAACGAUCAUUUCCCGCUCUCGGCGGUGGAAGGAUAACAGGUCGGUGCCACUUGGAUCCAUCAUGGCCCGCUAGGCAGUCCCGAUUGAACCAACACGUUUUUUUUAUGCUAUUUCAACUUUUCGUUAUUUUUAAUUAAGGGCCUCCGGGUGCCAUGGCCAAUAUCUUAUAAUGGGUUUUUCUUCUUUUUAUUUUUUUUAUAACAAAUGAUAUUAUCUACACUAAAGAGGUUGUGUUAAGCCUCACAAUGAUCUUGCAAUAACUUGGUUAAAAUUCGUCUAUGAUGAUAAUCGAAUAUAAGAGAUCUCACUUACAAGUGAAGACAUAUCAUUAGAUUGUAGUACUAAGUGACAAUGUUUUUUUUUUUCUUUCCCAAAUGAAUGAUUUCAAACUUUGAGUGCAUAGUGGUAUACAUAUGUGGUUAAAAAUAAGAAAAUUUAAUUUUAAACUUUGUAACUUACACGCAAAAAAGGGAUUAAGAAUAUCCUUAGAGACUUUGUUCCGGCUUAAGUGGCUUGGCACAAUUUCAACUUCGUCCAAUGGUGGCGCGGAAUUUGUAUCAAAGAUUACCAUUUAUCUUAUUUUUGUUUGACGGAAAAACUUAAAACAUAUUGUCUUGUGUUGGCUUGCGGACUCGAAUUCAAUCUUUCGUGCAUCAACUAUUUGACGAAAAUGUAGAUGAAUACGAAUUUAUAGAGUACAUUCUAUAUUUUGACAAAACGGUAAUUUAAACUACUCUAAUCUAUGGAGGAAUUAGGUCAGUGUACUGGGUCAUAUAUGAUAAUGUCUAUCCCAAGUUGUUCCAAACUUUGGACAUUGAAAUCCCUUGCUUUUGUGUGCACAAUGAGGAAGGGAGGCCUGGAGAAAACAGUAGGAUUGGAAACGCAAACUUGAUCUGGAAACCAAAAGAGAUUGCUGCAAUCUUUCAUAUGAGGAUGAGGAUCUCCAAAGCAUAAUUGUAUCGGUAGCUCCGGAAAUCACUAAAGGAUAGAUUUUAAUCAAAUGGUCAAAAGUUGUAUAACUACUACUUUUAAAUUUGUUGAAUUCCAACCUAUCUAAGCUGUCAUCAAUUGUCGAGACUAGAUGACAGAUGUUGGUUAGAUCAGUUAGUUAAGCCAGUGGCACUCAAGUUCGAAUUAGAUCGGUUAGUUAAGCCAGUGUGCUCACUGCACUCAAGUUCGAUUUCUUUUUCUCAUAAAUUAGAGUUGUUUAAAAUAUCAUUAUGUUAAUUAAAAAAGAAAGUUUGACAGUAUGCUGUAAUUAGCGGGUUUGGUCACUUCUAUCAUGUUCAUACACAGUGCCUAGUUUGGCUUGGAUUUUCUCUUCUAUAUACAUGAAGUAAAAAAAAUCAACUAGUUCUUAGCCUAAGGUACAUUGAUCCCUUCUAAACGUUGAAGUCUCAGGUUCAAAUUUUCCAUGCUUCCAUUGAUGAAAAAAGGGUACCAAAAAUAGUUCACAAUUAAAUGAUUUAUAAAAAAAUUUGCGUUCACAAGACUGAUUGUUGGUACAUUUCAGAGUCACUAUCACCUUCUAACGUCGGCAUUUGCAAAAGCAAAUUUAAAUUAGUAAAGUGCUUCUGACAUGUUUUUUUUCUUUCUUUUAAAAAGCAGGAAUUAACUUGGCUGCUAAAUUGUUAACUUGGCUGCUGAACAAUUCAACAGCCAGCUUAUACUCAAUUUCAUGUAAACACGUAUUUAAGUUUUGAUUUUUUUAAUUAAAAUUUGAACACGUGUUCACAUAAAAUUAGGUAUAAGCAAGAAUAGCUGCUAAUUGUUGAGCAGCCAAGUCUUGUUCUAAAAAGCAGCAUUCACAUUACUUUCGUGUUUCGUCCAAAAAAAACUUUACUUUCAUGUGAUGUUUUUUACUUUAUGUCAUGAGACUUCGUAAUUAGCUCAUAUUUUCCGAGGUAGUUAAUACCCUUUUCUGAAAGAACCCCAUGACAGCUUUAAAAGGCUGAGAGGAAUAAGGACUCAUAUGCAACCCCUGGGCAUGCCAAUGACACUUUUGACAUCCUGAGAGAUGCAUGCAAGUAUCCUUACUCUAGAAGAUGUUGAACUGUUUGACUUGAUUUUUCAACCUGCGAAUGAUUCUUACUCCAUCGCAGAACAGUUUUUUAGCAGUUGAACAUUUUUAAAUCUAGAGAGAGAGAGAGAGAGAGAGAGAGAGAGAGAGAGAGAGCGAGGAGCUCCAAUGCCUUUAUAUAUAGCCAUGCCCAAAACGAAUGUAUAUGUUUUCUAACUUAGUUGUGAACAUGAGGCUCUUAGUCAUGUCAAUAGUGUUAAGCUUAUUCUGCAGAGACGUAAGGCUAGUCUCUGGUGAUAUCGGCACUGCAACUUCCUACGGUCCUCCUUACAUACGUGAGCAAACAACAUAUUAAUUCAACGCAAUGAAGAUAAAGAUAUCCAAUAUGUUAUGUCAUCAAAGAUUGUGAAUUAGAACUACAUACACAUUUAUUUAUGAUUUUGAUUAACAAUUUGACAACGUAACAUGUCUGAUACUUUGCUAAAAACAUAUAGUUUAGGUUAUAUAUGCUCUAUUUCUUAACUGGUCUAUUAUGAAUGACAAUUCAUUUUUCUUAAUGCCAUUGUAAUUGUUGUGCAGCUACAAAGUGCUUUGGGAGUAGGCAAGACCAAUUCCCUCCGGGGAACCUGUUUGUGGCGGUGAGUGAAGGAUUGUGGGACAAUGGUGCUGCGUGUGGAAGGCGAUAUAGACUGAGGUGCCUGAGUGGACGUAAUAAACCCUGCAAGGGUGGUGCUACGGUGGACGUGAAGGUGGUUGAUCUUUGCAAAAAAUCACCUUGCCCUUCUACAGUAGCAAUGUCAACUGAUGCUUUUGCAGCGAUCUCACACUCUCCUUCUACACGAAUCAACGUCGAAUAUGUCCAGUAAAUAUCUCUACAAACUUUACACUCUCUUAUAGUUCUACUAUUCAUUUUCCUUAUAUAUACAUACAUAUAUAUACACACACACAUACACUAAUAUUUAUGUCGAUGGUUUGAUCUUCAGGAUAUGAAAUCACCUGAACCAGAUAUAUGAUGACCACGUACAGCUGAGGAUAUUAUCAAUUAUACUGGCUUUGUAGUUCAUCUUGAACUCAAGUUUAUAAUGAUAAGAGAAACAUUGUAAUAUUAAUUUGAUACUACCUUUUCUUAGUUUGUCCAUUAGUCUUCAAUAAAAUGAUAUGCAGAGUUAUUAUUAUUAUUUUUAUUAUUAUUUUUUAUCAUACAUCCACAUCCCAAUUAAAACAAAAAUAACAUUACUUAUGUCACGUUUACUAAUCAUAAUGGAAACCACGCUCCCGAUUAGUUUUUGUACUAUGCUUAUAAAUAGGAAAAUGAUAACAACACUUUUCGUACAUAUCCUUUUUUUUUCUUGGGGAUGAGACUAGACUAUACUUGAAGAUGCAAAAUCUAAUACACGACAUAGCCACGGAUACUAGUAAUACACCACAUAAUUAAUGGAGAUUGCUCUCUAGAUCAUCCAAUUAAUUUUGAAUUGGAUGAUCUAGUUCUGUUCUACUCAAUUAUUUUGUAGCCCUUAAACGUGUUUCAUUUAGCACCUAAUCAACCGUACUUAUCCAUCUUGCCCAUGACAGUCACUAUGCAGUAUUGACUUCCUUUCUUACAUACAAGGUAGAUGUCACGGUAAUAAUAUUUCAAGUCAAUUAUGCAUUAUUAUGUGUUAUAACUUUUUUAUAUAAACAGUGUAUGAUUACUUAAGAUACAUCCAAAGUAACAUCCAUUGGAAGAAAGAAGGAAAAGGUUUGGCUAGUAGCUAAAGGCUUUACUUGGAAAGGGGCAACCCGGUCCUCUAUUGCAUCCCCUGUCGUAUCUGUGUAAACAGUUCGUUGUUUCUGGAUUGAUUUGUUUUCUCCACUUUGAGCCAUGAGCGGAAUGUAUCUAUUUUAGCCACGAGUGGAAUGUAUCUAUUUUAGCCACAUGCACCUUAUCGAAAUGGAACCUCCACUGAGUCAAAAGACAAAACAGUGGUCCUAAACAAAACGGAAUGUGCAUGGUUUUGUAGGCUUGUAGCCCUUUUUCAACAAGCUAGGCGUCUUAUUAGGAAUUUAGGACUCAAACAACUGUAUCAUAAUUGAUGAGUGGGAUGAUGUGUGGUGUAUUAUCAUGUCCACUACUGCAACUAAGAACUAUCUGAUCAAUUUUACACAUAGUUUUUUACAUCUCUGCUUCUGGUAUAUGGCCACUAAUUAAUCAACUUUUGGAUGCAUGCUACAUUUUCACGAAUGCUUGAAUUAAUUAUGUAAUUUCACAAGACUCGGUCCUCUUACUAAAUGUAUUCGAUAAUACACAAAAUUUUCUCACACGAUCCCAACUUCCAAAUAUCCUCAUCAUGCUUGUGUUGAGUCGGGCCAGCUCAAAUGGUUGUACUUAAGAUAGAAAGUAGUAAACUUUGUUUCCAAUAUCAUCCAAGGAAAGAACCCCUAUUCACUACAAGAAUCAAGCAGUUCUAACCAUAAUUUAAAUAAACAGCAUUUUCUGCAAGUCGGCAAUACUUAAUUGCCUUUAAUUUAAAUAAGCAGUUCUAACCAUAUAAGUGGCUCCAUAUAUACAUUUAAUUACCUUACAGAAGCGCUUCAGGUUCUCAAUAGCAGUACUUUCUGCAAGUCGGCAAUACUCGUCAAUUGAGUAUGCAGAGCACCCAUUAGCUAGCACGCAAAAAGCAGAUGUGAGCUUCUGAUGAGGUGAUAGACCUUGUCGGCUUACGGCAUCUAGCCUCCUUGCAAAGUAAUGGUCAUGAUUGACAACUGCGUUCAAGAUGCUUUCAAAAAGCUCUCUCCUUAUCCGAAACCGCCUCCGAAAAUCAUGAGCAGGAAAUCUCGGACACUCGAUGAAAUAAUCUUUCAUCAUUAUGUCAUGACACUCUUCUCUGUCACGCUGCACAUAUGAAUGCCCCGUGACAGAACCACAAUGGCUAGAUUCGCCAUGGUGCUCAGAUUGCAUAAACGAGUUGACAAGUUCAACUUCGGCGUUGAACAAUUCUGCAUCCUCAAUCUCGAUCCUUGCUUGGUAUUGUGCCAUCUGCAUUGCCAUGCUAUGCCUUCUUCUAUCACCCAUUGAUGAGACAUUGAGGAUUUUUAGGAAACAAAAACUCUUUGAAAGUUGAAAGAUUGGUGAAUAUAGAGGAUGUUUGAGGGUUGAAAGGUUGUGUGAUCAACAAACAUUGGACAUAUGUUUAUAUAAAGGAUGAUUGAUGAAAGUUGAACGGUUGGUGAAAGUUGAAAGUUUGGUGUUGAACGGUUGGUGAAUUGAAAGUUAGCCCAAGGUUGAAAGAUUGGUGAAAGUUGAAGUCUUGCUUGUGGAAAAUUUAGUGAUUUUUCAAUAUUUAUCUGAAUUUAAAUUUUUUUAGAUUAAAAUGUUCAUAAAAUUAAUUUACAAUAGUCUACAUAUUUAUUUAUUUUUUAAAAAAUUUAAUUUAAGAAAAAAAAUAGUCUAAUUUCAUUCUUUAAUAAUUCCGAACUAAAAGUUUAGGCUAUAACGGUUGGAGUAGAAAAACUAUUUCUGGGCUACAAGCUAAAUUUUUCGGGUUAAAAUAUUUGACUUUUAGCCCAACCAUUGGAGAUGGUCUAAAGGAAGAUGAAUUAUUCUAUUAAAAGAGGUGGGAGGAUUGAGCUAGACCGCACAAUAGGUCAACUACUAAGUAUUGAACUCAACACAUAUAAUACUUUAUCGUCAUUUGUGUGAGUCAAAUAUGAAACUUUUCUUUACUAGUAAAAAAAAAAUACCGUUAGAUUGUAGUACUAUUUAAUAGUAUCUAUUCCUUAUUUAGCCGCCAAACAAUUAAAUAAUGGAGGCAAAUCACGAUUAAAGGCUUGAGAUUAACUUCAAGUCAUCAGAUUCAGAGAAUCAUGAUUUCACCAAUUUAAAAGAUAGAAAAUGUGUUUAUCGACUUCAAAAGUAAGUGGCAUGGUGGUUAUCUCGCGAGGAUCAAUAAUCUCAUGCUAUCCAAAACAAUAAUUUAUUUAUUUUAUUAUUUUCUUAUAGACUGCGAGGUCAAAGAGUCAAAGAUGAUACCAACUGAAAGAGUAGCAACCAAAAUUUCUUUUUCGCAUCUACUUUACGUACACCUCAUUCCUUAUGCAAGCAAAACCAUGUGAUUCUGAUCAAUUUCCCUUCUGCUUUGGUUUCUUGUGCUAGAGUUUUCAAGGAAUUUGUAUUCACAAAAUAGCGUGCUUGUUAGAGACUAACAAAUAUUUUAUAAUUAGUAACAACGUAAUUUUUACAAAAACAAUAUAUAUUUUGACACUAAUUUAUAAAAAAGAGAAUUCAAACUUAGUUGCAAUGAAUUUGUUAUAAAAAAAUAAAAAAAAUAAAAAAAAACUUUGUUGCAAUGAAUUAUUUUCAGAAGCUAUGUCCUUGUUUCGCUAGUUUGUUUGUUUUGUUGAAGAUUUGUAGCUAUUUUUUGUUAUUGUUAUUCCAAAAAUGUCAUUUACAUUGCACCAUUCACGUAGAAAUCCAUCGCCGUGCUUGAAAUUGCAGAUAAUGAAUGAAAAAUCAUAAAAUGUACAGGAAGGAGCAACAUUGGUACAACAAUUCUACGGCUUAGUACGACGACUGCCGCUGUAUGUUCCGUGAAGAUAUAUUUUCAAAUCCUCGGCGUUGUUUCUGGAAAUAAGGAUGAAGACUAUGGACUCCCUCUAGACAUACCGGUAUCUGCAUUUCAAUCAAGCAUGACACCUACACAGAUAAUUCAUCCUCAGUGCACAGGAAGACCAAACCCUUACGAGUGGAAAAGAGAAAGCAAUCGGAAACAAGUGUACUAGAGAAACAGGACACCACUUACUGCUGGACGGAAAGCAAACAUCUCUUCUUGACCAGAUAGCUGGGAUAUUAUACCGGUUGGGGCACCUCCAGAACUCACAUUACCUUCUGCUAAAACAUCGCGGCGAAGUUUUGAACCUUCCGUCUCUGUUUCAAACUGUUAUGAUAUGAAUGAUUUCCUUCCCAUUUGGUAGCAUGGUGAUCGUUGACUAUCAACGUUUUAUUCUUUCCUUUUGUAAAAAUAUUUACUUAGCUGAUUUGUAGGAAUUACGGGAUGUGAUUGUAUCCUUACAGUUUGUAUAAGAACUCUAGCCUAGCUUGUAUAUUUCAAUGAAUCAAUACAUUCUAUUUUUAAGAUGGUACCAGAGAGUCCAAGAUCCUAGGAUUUUUUUUGUUUCCUUGGUUUCUCUUAGUUCCUUUUUCUUCGGUUUUUCUUGUGAGCAAAGUUGUCUUUUUUUGCCAUGGGAGACUCCAAGUCGGUUGAGGUGUUGAACGAUCCCUCAAGCCCUUUCUAUAUUCAUCACUCUGAUAAUCCAGGGAUGCAUCUUGUUUCCACUCCACUUACUGGAAACAAUUAUAGCACAUGGUCUCGUUCAAUGCGUAUUGCCCUUAGCGCAAAGAACAAAUUUGGUUUUGUUGAUGGGUCUGUGAAGAAGCUGUCAGACAACAAAGCAACUGAAGCUGCUCUUUGGCAGUGCUGUAAUGACAUGGGUCUCAUGUGGAUUUUAAAUUCUGUGAGUUCUGGGUUAUCAAACAGUGUGGUUUGUGCAGAAACUGCACAUGCUGUUUAGGAGGACCUCAAGACUCGUUUUUCGCAAGACAACGUCCCGCAAAUUUUUGAGAUUCAGCGUGACAUUGCACGCCUCACUCAAAAUCAGAUGUCUAUGUCUGACUAUUAUUCCCAAUUGAAGGGUUUAUGGAAUGAAUUAUCUUCUUACGGCAGCCAUAAAAACUGCUCAUGUGGUGCCAUGGAAGACCGUAACGAGAAAGAGGAGCAGAAUAAGGUUAUGCAAUUUUUAAUGGGGCUUGAUGAUUCAUAUGCAACAAUGAGAGGUCAGAUUCUGCUUGUAAAGCCAUUACCUUUAGUGCUCAAAGUUUUUUCAAUGGUUAACCAAGAGGAGAAGCAACGUGGAAUUGCAGCCAUCCCACAACCAAGUGUGGAAGGAGCAGCCAUGGCAGUUCAAGGUGGUCGAGGUAAUCAACACAGUCGUGGUAGCCAAGGGAAUCGCAAGCCGCUACAUUGUGAUUAUUGUGACAUGGACCAUCACACCAGGGAGACUUGCUACCAGCUUCAUGGAUAUCCCGAGGACCAUCGUCUCUAUAAAACAGGGGGAGCAUUUGGUAUGUCGCCUUCACAAGUCUUUGUAUGGAUUAAAGCAGGCCUUUCGGCAGUGGUUUUUUAAGUUUUCUGAGGCUAUUUGUGCAGCUGGGUAUACACAGUCCAAAGCCGAUUAUUCCCUUUUUACAAGAAAAGUUGGCAAACCAUUCACAGCUCUCCUUAUUUAUGUUGAUGAUAUCUUGAUCACUGGUAAUGACAUGACGGCUAUUGGUUCUCUUAAAUCUUUUUUGAAUAAACGCUUCCGCAUCAAAGAUUUAGGAGCCCUUUAACAUUUUUUAGGAAUAGAGAUUGCCCGUUCAAAAAAGGGGAUCUUUAUUUCUCAAAGAAAAUAUUUAUUGGACAUUUUGAAAUAUGUGGGUCUUUUGGGAGCACGAUCAGCUAGCUUCCCUAUGGAACAAAAUUUGAAGCUACUUCCUAAUGAUGGAGAUUUGCUUCACGAUCCAUCCAUGUAUCGAAGAUUGAUAGGACGUUUGAUAUAUUUAACUAUUACUAGACCCGAUAUUACUUUUGUAGUGAACACGUUGAGUCGUUUCAUGCAACAUCCUUACAAGCCUCACUAUGAUGCAGCUUUACGUGUUUUGAGAUAUUUGAAUAACACUCCAAGUCAAGUUAUUUUGUUUUCCUCACAAAGUUUGUUACGAUUGAAGGCUUUUUGUGAUGCCGAUUGGGCAGGGUGUCCGGUGACUUGACAUUCUACUACCAGAUAUUGUGUUUUCCUUGGAGAUUCUUUAAUUUCAUGGAAAAGCAAAAAGCAGAAGACUGUCUCAUUAUCUUCUGCAGAAGCAGAGUACCGUUCAAUGGCUGCUACCUGUUGUGAGCUCACUUGGUUACAAAGUCUUUUAUGUGAUUUACGUAUUAAAGAUAUAGGCCCAGCUAUUUUACACUGUGAUAACCAAGCGGCUCUUCACAUUGCCGCUAAUCCUGUUUUUCAUGAGCGGACACGCCAUAUAGAGAUUGACUGUCAUUUUGUUCGAGAUAAAAUUCAAGAAGGAAAGGUAGUCACCAAAUUUGUUCCAUCUUCAAGGCAAGUUGCAGACAUAUUCACGUAGCCUUUAGGAAAAGAACAGUUCCGUUUUUUGUUGAGCAAGUUAGCGAUUUUUGACAUUCACUCGCCAACUUGAGGGGGAGUGUUAUGAUAUGAAUGAUUUCCUUCCCAUUUGGUAGCAUGGUGAUCGUUGACUAUCAACGUUUUAUUCUUUCCUUUUGUAAAAAUAUUUACUUAGCUGAUUUGUAGGAAUUACAGGAUGUGAUUGUAUCUUUACAGUUUGUAUAAGAACUCUAGCCUAGCUUGUAUAUUUCAAUGAAUCAAUACAGAAGAUUAUUCAUACUGUCAUUCUAUUUUUAAGACAAGCUGGAAACUAAAAGCAACAAUUGCACAUGCUCUCAAUAUCAUUUGUUUAAGAAUUAGACCGAAAUGUUACCAGCCAUAACAUUACUAAAAAAUAACCUUUAACAGAAGUGAACACUCACCUCUCCAAAUCAAAAGGAGCACCCUCUUCAGUUCCUUGAAAUAAUUCAUCAAUAGAAGAUGCUGCCGAAAAAAAUAGACGACAAUGCAGCUGUGUUUCUCCUCCUACUCACUAUCAUUCGAACGGUCUGCUCCAUUAUCUCUAUUACUUGAUCAAUCAGCAGUAAAUGUCUCCUCUCCGUCUAGUCGUUUAUCUUUUUGAUCAACUCUCUCUGUAUAGUCUUUCAAAGAGCAAUCUGUAUUGAGAGACUGAGUAAUGUUUGUAUGUACAUGCGUACGUGCGAUGAUGAGUAAGAUCCCUGUAAUUUUUCCAUGAAAGUGUGCUGUGAUGUGUGCAUUGUAAGAGUGAUUGAACAUUGAAGUAGUGAAUUGAGUGCUUCUUCUGUUGGUUUCCUAUUUUUUGUACUUGAUUAUCUCAUACUCCCUAUCCCUAACCUUGUGUGUGUUUCAACGAGGAAUUCUUGACGUUGCAUAGUAGAACUCAUUAAAGCCCGAUUCUCAUCAUCGAGGUCGAUAAAAGAAAUCAACGAAGCACAAACAGACAGAACUUUGAAGAUGAACUUAUUUCCUUUCAAUAGUCAGGAACUAUCAACGGCACUGAGCUGGAACAACCUGUUCUUCCUGAAUAUCUUGAGUCUUAAGGAACUUCAUCUCCGUUUCUAAGAGCAUGUUUGGUAUUCUAUUUAGAAACUUGGACUUGAAAAUUUUGAUUUGUUCAAAGAACAUAGUUCUAACUACAAUUCAUAAGACUCAAAAAUUCAUUUGGUAUGAGAACUUGAAACUUAUUUUUAGAUCACUAUCAAAUAUUCUAAGACAACUCCGCCAUGUAAGUUUAUCUUACAUUGCCGGUCCCAAGCCCGGAUAAAGGAGGAGGGGGAGGGCGUCAGGUAGUCGACAGCCGGCACUCCAUGAUCACGUCGAAUCCUUAUGAAAAUGAAUCCAGAACGAAAUCGCGCUAAAGCUAGGGCGUCACCCGUAAGUGGCGCGCUGUGUGGCCCGAGCACAGUGAUAAGUGAGCAAGGGUCGCUGUAUCUCCAUCAGCACCCGGAUGCAGUGUUAAAUGAGUAAGGGGGCUAUAGAAACUUCUUUUCGAACGACUCCACUCAAAGUUGUUUGGGAGCAUAUGCUCCUAUCAACUUUACACGGGACACACAAAAGAAGUACUUUGAUCCUAUUAGACGGGGAAGGGUGAAGAAGCUAGGACAGAAGGGUAGAGUUCAAGAGCAAAAUGCGUUUAGGAACGUAGAAUAUAGGAACCUUGACGGGAAAAUCUAUGGAAGUAGUAGAAGUUAUGGUGAGGAGAAGGAUAAAUAUUAUGUGCCUACAAGAAACUAAGUGGGUUGGUCGUAAGGCAAAGGAUCUAGAAAACUCAGGGGUUUAAACUAUGGUAUUCGGGCACAAAUAGAACGAGAAACGGUGUUGGCAUCAUCGUGGACAAGACCUUGACACAAGAUGUUGUAGAUGUCAAGAGGGUAGGAGAUAGAAUCAUAGCAAUCAAGAUUGUAAUAGGACAAGAACUUAUCAAUGUGAUUAGUGCGUACGCACCUCAAGUAGGGUUGGAUACGAGUUCGAAGGAGAAAUUUUGGGAAAACCUUGGAGACUUGGUGCAAGGAAUUGCUCAGACGGAGAAGUUAUUUAUAGGAGGAGAUUUAAAUGGACACGUGGGCAGGGAGACAGGCAACUAUGGAGGUUUUCAUGGUGGCCAUGGUUUUGGGGAGAGAAACGAGGAUGGGGAAGCUAUCUUGGAUUUUGCAAUGGCAUAUGAUCUCUUCUUAGCCAACACCUUUUUUAAGAAGAGAGAAGAACAUGUGAUCACCUACAAGAGUGGGUCGUAAAAAACACAAAUAGAUUUUCUUCUAAUGAGGAAAGGGGAUCGUAUAACUUGUAAGGAUUGCAAAGUUAUACCAGGAGAGAGCGUGGCUAAUCAACAUCGCUUGUUGGUGAUGGAUAUACAUAUCAAAAGAGUGAGAAAAAAGAACAAGACUUGGAAGUGCCCAAGGACUAGAUGGUGGAAUCUAAAAGAAGAAAAACAAGCCAUUUUCAAAGAGAAAGUAAUCACCCACUGUGUGUGGGAUAGAGAGGGGGAAGCUAACCAACUGUGGGAUUCCAUGGCUAGUUGUAUCCGAAAAGUAGCAAAAGAGGUAUUAGGAGAGUCCAAGGGCUUUGCCCCACACCAAAAGGAAUCUUGGUGGUGGAAUGAGGAGGUACAAACAAAGGUGAAGGCUAAGAAGGAAUGUUGUAAAGCCUUAUACAAGGAUAGGAUCGAUGAAAAUGGUGAAAGGUAUAGAAAAGCGAAGCAAGAGGCGAAGAAAGCUGUGAGAGAAGCUAAGUUAGCGGCUUAUGACGAUAUGUAUAAGCGACUAGAUACCAAAGAAGGAGAGUUGGAUAUCUAUAAACUAGCUAGAGCAAGGGAAAAGAAGACAAGAGACCUAAACCAAGUGAGGUGCAUCAAGGAUGAGGAUGGAAAUGUUCUUGCUACAGAGAACGCGGUUAAAGAUAGAUGGAAAGGUUAUUUUCAUAAUCUUUUCAAUGAAGGACAUGAAAGGAGUGCUUCUUUAGGGGAGUUGAGUAACUCAGAAGAGUGUAGAAACUACUCUUUUUAUCGUAGAAUCCGGAAGGAAGAAGUGGUUGUAGCUUUGAAGAAGAUGAAGCAUAGAAAAGCAGUAGGCCCAGACGAUAUACCAAUCGAAGUGUGGAAAGUUUUGGGAGAGACAUGUAUAACAUGGCUCACUGACCUUUUUAAUAGGAUUUUGAAAACGAAGAAGAUGCCAAAUGAGUGGCGAAUGAGCACUUUGGUGCCUAUCUACAAGAAUAAGGGCGAUGUACAAAAUUGCAUGAACUAUAGGGGUAUUAAGCUAAUGAGUCAUACAAUGAAGCUCUGGGAGAUAGUCAUUGAGCAUAUAUUGAGGCAAGAAACACGGGUUUCGGACAACCAAUUCGGGUUCAUGCCAGGUCGCUCACCAUGGAGGCAAUCUAUCUCUUACGAAGAUUGAUGGAAAGAUAUAGAGAUGGGAAAAAGGAUUUACACAUGGUCUUUAUAGAUUUGGAAAAAGCGUACGAUAGGGUCCCAAGAGACAUUCUUUGGAGGAUUUUAGAGAAGAAAGGAGUACGAGUAGCAUAUAUCCAAGCUAUACAGGAUAUGUACGAAGGAGCAAAGACUGCCGUAAGAACUCAUGAAGGACAAACCGAAAGCUUUCCCAUAACUGUAGGAUUACAUCAAGGCUCAUCCUUAAGUCCUUAGCUUUUUGCGUUGGUAAUGGAUGAGUUAACAGGACAUAUUCAAGAUGAUAUUCCUUGGUGUAUGCUUUUCGCAGACGAUAUAGUGUUGAUAGAUGAAACUCAGGAAGGGGUAAAUGCAAAGCUUAACCUUUGGAGAGAAGUGUUGGAAUCUAAAGGUCUUCGCCUAAGCCGAUCAAAGACAGAAUAUAUGGAGUGCAAGUUCAGUGCAAAUGGAGGCCAAAACGAGUUAGGGGUGAGGAUCGGAGAUCAAGAAAUACCAAAGAGCGACCGUUUUCGUUACCUAGGAUCUAUCUUGCAAAAGAACGGAGAAUUAGAUGGAGAUCUCAACCAUAGAAUACAAGCUGGAUGGAUGAAGUGGAAGAGUGCAUCCGGCGUGUUGUGUGUGACCGUCGUAUGCCACUGAAGCUCAAGGGAAAAUUUUAUAGGACGGCAAUAAGGCCGGCGAUGCUGUAUGGCACAGAAUGUUGGGCGGUGAAGCAUCAACACGUACACAAAAUGGGUGUAGCGGAGAUGAGGAUGCUUCGUUGGAUGUGUGGGCACACGAGAAAGGAUAAGAUUAGGAAUGAGGAUAUCCGGGGUAAAGUAGGAGUAGCCGAAAUUGAAGGAAAGAUGAGAGAAAAUCGGUUACGUGGUUUGGACAUGUGCAAAGAAGGCCUACUGACGCUCCGAUUAGAAGAUGCGACUAUGGGACAGAGGUUCAGGGUCGAAGGGGUAGAGGAAGACCUAGGAAAACUUUGGAAGAGACCCUAAGAAAAGACUUAGAGUACUUGGAUCUAACGGAGGACAUGACACAGGACAGAACACAAUGGCGUUCUAAGAUUCAUAUAGCCGAUCCCACUCAGUGACGUGGAUUUUCCAAGUCUCCAACCGAGAAGUUUUCCUCACUCGGGAAAUUAAGGGAACACUACCUCAACCUACAUGCUCCACUCACAAAGCUUCAACAAAAGAAAAUUCAAAGAACUUAGCGAAGAAGGCUUUGGUGUAUUUAACACAAUACGUUGAAAUGAAGGAAAGCUUAUUUAUUGAUAUCCCCGAUAAGUUACAAAUAUGUACAUAUACUUGAGUCAAAAUAAACAAACAAGAGGGAGCCUUCACAAAGGUGGCUUAGGAGAAGUCUCAGCAGUCGGUAGAGCCCCAGAAAGAGAAGGCACCAGAGGGGGAUCAUUUGGAGCCUCAGUACUGGACAAAACCCUAGAAGGAGGAGGCAUCAGAGGUUGAUCAUUUAGAGCUUCAUUACGCGGUACAGCCUCAGAAGACGAAGGCAAUAAAUGCCUUUGGAACAAACCCACAAAUCUCUGAUGAUCAAGUAAAACCUGACCAUCAGAUUCCUUCAUCUGGUCAAGCUUCCUCUUCAUGUUUGUAGCAUAGUCAUGUGCGAGUCGGUGCAACUGUUUAUUCUCAUGCUUGAGCCCUCUAAUCUCCUGUUUGAGACUCAUCACUUCAGCCGCCAAUGAUUCAACUUGGCGGGUUCGAGCAAAUAGGCGUUGGGCCAUAUUAGACACAGAACCUGCACACUGAACACUGAGAGCCAGAGAAUCCUUAACAGCCAACUCAUCAGACCGUUUGGAAAGUAGUCUGGUAUCUUUGGGAGUGAGAAGGUUCCUGGCCACUACCGCAGCAGUCAUAUCAUUCUUCAUCACGGAAUCCCCAACGGUAAGAGGACCAGUAGGGGAGACGAAUGAUGGGCGCCAUAUGUUGUCUGGAGAAGGCGGGGCUGCCUCUUCAACAAGGUUCAAGUCAAAACGACGGUCGGAGGGGCCAGACAUUUUCAAAGGUGUUAAAGAGAGAAGAGGUCGGACAAAUCAAGAUCUUAGAAGUGCAAGAAUGGAGCUUCUACUAAUGGAUAUUCAAGUAUGCUUUGGAACUUAAUGUCAGCCCCUAUAAAAAUCUGCACUCGACGAAGCUUCAGAAAUCGAAGAGGCGUUUGCUUUCUCAAAAGCUGGGCUGCUCAGAGACCACGAGGGUUGAUCUCAGAAAUCGAAGAGGCGUUUGCUUUCUCAAAAGCUGGGCUGCUCAAAGACCACGAAGGCCGAUCUCAGAAAUCGAAGAGGCUUGCUUUCUCAAAAGCUGGGCUGCUCAGAGACCACGAGGGCCAAUCUCAGAAUUCGAAGAGGCACCUACUUUUCCAGCCUUGUCAGCACCUGUCACACGCACACUCAGCUUUGCGGAAAUUAUGGGCAUUCUGUCGAAGAUUUCUGGCGAAAUAGAAAGCACAUGAAUCGUACUGUUCAAUCACCCACUUCCCACACGCAACAGUAACUCAUGGGUACCACAUAUAACUUUGCUAAAGUUCUCUGACAAAGUUGAGACACGUGAAGCUUGCAGCUCCCGCUACAUCGCUCUGACCAAGAAGGGUAAAAGAAUUGCAAAGAAACAACACUAACAAAGUUUAGACACAUAAAUUUUGAAGGUCUAGCUACCAUAUUAUUACCCACAAGGGUAAAGGAACAGUACCACUGCUGGAUAAUUGGAAAGUCCCGGUGUGUCAACCUCUGUGCUUCGUGGCAAGGUAGACUAGCAAACAUGCCCAACCUUUACUCACAUUCGAGAAAACACGCCCAACAGGAUUGCUUGCUCCAAAAUCGAAGAGGCACCGCCCUCCGAAUCUCGAGAGCCAGACUCCCAACAUGAUUACUUUCUCAAAAAUCGAAGAGAGGGUAAAGGAACAGUACCACUGCUGGAUAAUUGGAAAGUCCCCUGUGUGUCAACCUUUGUGCUUCGUGGCAAGGUAGACUAGCAAACAUGCCCAACCUUUACUCACAUUCGAGAAAACACUCCCAACAAGAUUGCUUGCUCCAAAAUCGAAGAGGCACCGCCCUCCGAAUCUCGAGAGCCAGACUCCCAACAUGAUUACUUUCUCAAAAAUCGAAGAGAGGGUAAAGGAACAGUACCACUGCUGGAUAAUUGGAAAGUCCCUGUGUGUCAACCUCUGUGCUUCGUGGCAAGGUAGACUAGCAAACAUGCCCAACCUUUACUCACAUUCGAGAAAACACUCCCAACAAGAUUGCUUGCUCCAAAAUCGAAGAGGCACCGCCCUCCGAAUCUCGAGAGCCAGACUCCCAACAUGAUUACUUUCUCAAAAAUCGAAAAGGCACCGCUCUCCGAAUCUCGAGAGCCAGACUCCCAGCAGGAUUGCUUUCUCAAAAAUCGAAGAGGCAUCGUUCUCCGAAUCUCGAGAGCCAGAUCCCCGACAGGAUUGCUUGUUCGAAAACCGAAGAGGCACCACUUUCCCAACUUCAAGAGUUGGAUCUCCUUGGAUAAAGCUUGUCUAUAAUCUUCACACGCAACAUCAGCUUUCCAGAUACCACAGACCACUUUUUCAAAGUGCUCUGACAGAGUUAAAACAUGUGAAGCUGGCAGCUCCCACUACCGUGCUAUGACCAAGCAGGGUAAAGGAAUAGCAUUAUUACUUGAUGUUAGGGAGACUCCUAUAUAUGUCGACCUCCAUCCCUAACGGACAGGCAGACCUGCAAAAAUGCUCAACCCUUUCUCUUAUCUGAGAGGGCACUCCCAACGAAGCCUUUCGAAAUAUUCAGGUUUCUUUCCCCCCGAUAAUACCUCUGUAAACAAGCUAUACUAGAGCAAGAAUAUCUCAUAUCAUCAGGGUUAAAAGCAAGAGUAUCCCAUAUCAUGCUUUUUCCCUGUCUUUUCCUUUGGCCUUGUUCUUACCUGCAAGACAAGGAGAAAGAGAGCAAUCAGUCAGCACUUGGAAUCAAGCUUCCAGCCAGGAACUGACUGCCUGGAACCCCUUACCUGAUUACUUACCUGGCAUUGCUCUCAAGUACUCAUCUUUAACAUCUUAUGCUCCCAGGGAAGAUACCGCAUCUGCCUGAGGAACAGAUAGGGCAAGUGAGAAGGAUACAAGGAAGCAUGUGGAGACAAGCGUAACAGCACACGUGCCGAUACAUCCACUACUCUGUCAAAAGCAAAAGUAUCCCAUAUCAGCAGGGUCGAAAGUACUCUAGAUUUGAUGGACUUGUUUUGACCCUCAAAUUCUUCAGUCGGCCUUAUACUCUGGAGGAAACCAGAAAACCCUCCAGCCCGGUUCAAGAAUAAGCCUGUGGAAAGUUACUUCUUCAAAAGCAAAAGUAUCCCAUAUCAUCUCUUCUCAUUUUUCUUCUCUUUAUCCUUCAUGCUGCCUGCAAGAUAGGGAGAAUGUGAACAAUCAGCCGGAGCUCUGAUUGCUUACCUUGUCUGUCACCUCUUUCAGCAGAUCCCCUAGCCCGGCGACUUGGGGAACUCCUACUACAUGGUUUGUAUCGCGCUUGACCAAGCCUGAAACUACAAGUAAGCUUCAAAUGAAAUUGAUACAUUACCUUGUGCAUCUCCACCAGUUACAGAUACCACCCCUGGAUGGAGGAAAAGUACUUCCAGAGAAGAUGCCACAUCUACCUAUGAGACAGAUAAGGCAAGUCAAGACGAUACCACACUCCGGUACUUAGAAGUUUCGUGGUUACGAGAUCAUUCUCCCACAAUAUUUCCUAAUGUCAUAUGUACUAAAUCAUUCACUUGUACUCACUAAAGGAGAGCUUGAACCUAUGUACUUGUGUAAACCCUUCACAAUUAAUGAGAACUCCUCUAUUCCGUGGACGUAGCCAAUCUGGGUGAACCACGUACAUCUUGUGUUUGCUUUCCUAUCUCUAUCCAUUUAUAUACUUAUCCACACUAAUGACCGGAGCAAUCUAGCGAAGAUCACAAAAAGUGACCGUUUUCGCUACCUAGGAUCUAUCUUGCAAGAGAACGGAGAAUUAGAUGGAGAUCUCAACCAUAGAAUACAAGCUGGAUGGAUGAAGUGUAAGAGUGCAUCCGGCGUGUUGUGUGACCGUCGUAGGCCACUGAAGCUCAAGGGAAAAUUUUAUAGGACGGCAAUAAGGCCAGCGAUGUUGUAUGGCACAGAAUGUUGGGCGGUGAAGCAUCAACACGUACACAAAAUGGGUGUAGCGGAGAUGAGGAUGCUUCGUGGGAUGUAUGGGCACACGAGAAAGGAUAAGAUUGGAAAUGAGGAUAUCCGAGGUAAAGUAGGAGUAGCCAAAAUUGAAGGAAAUAUGAGAGAAAAUCGGUUCCGGUGGUUUGGACAUGUGCAAAGAAGGUCUACUGACGCUCCGGUUCGAAAAUGUGACUACGGGACAGAGGUUCAGGGCCGAAAGGGUAGAGGAAGACUUAGGAAAACUUUGGAAGAGACCCUAAGAAAAGACUUGAGUACUUGGAUCUAACGGAGGACAUGACACAAAACCGAGCGCAAUGGCGUUCUAGGAUUCAUAUAGCCGACCCCACUUAGUGGGAAAAGGCUUUGUUGUUGUUGUUGUUGUAUCAAAUAUUCUAAGACAAAAAAUGCAGGCUGGGAGGCAACCGUGAAUCUUCAAAGCUUGAGAAAGAAAAAAAAAAACUCAGAUUGCCAAACAGUUCAAGUGCCCACUAUGCGCACCACCAUAUCAUGACUAUAGCAGCAACGACGGAGUCGAAUAGCAGCGAAGUUGAACUAAUCUCAGGUUGAACGGCGCUCGUGGCGGAUAUCGUCCUCUGAAAUUUGUUUGAGUAACCAGUGAGAGAAGUGAGGGAGAGAGAAGGAGAGAAAAGAGAUAGGACAGGGAGAGAGAAAAAGCAGACAAAUGGUUCUCAUCUAAAAACUAUAAAUUCUCACAUUUUCUGUUUUCAACAAGUAAAAAAAUUUCUUCAGUUAGUUUUUAGUUGUCUUCUUGACAAAAAUAUACCAAACAAGAAUUCUUCAUGAUUUUUGUUUAAAAAGCUGAAUUUGAGAUACCAAACAGACCCUAAAAUCUUUCACAUGGACAUCAGGAUAUGGUUCUAGCAAGAAGAUUAUGAGAAGGGAAGGGAGGUGAAGCCGGUCAUUGCUUUUGACCUCCGGGCGCAUGGUGGCUUGGGACCGAAAGCGAGGUAAAACUUAUUGAAGAUGCACUCGAGGUCCUCUAUUUGAUUGCUCCCAGCCUCUCACCCCGAUAUUACUAGUAACAAAAUGCUACUUAACAUUAGGGGUGGGCAUAGUUCAGUUCGGUGAGGUUUUGAAGCCAAAACCAGAAUGAAACCAAACUAUUUGCUUCGAUUCGGACGUUUUCCGUUCAAUUUUUAAGAAAAAAUACAAUUUAAAAUUUACACCUAUGUAUGCAUUAUGCAUAAGACGGUCUCAUUUCAUUCAUCUUAAUAUGUAUUAUUCUUAUUCUUUGAGAAAUUAUCAUGGGUCCAAGAAUCAAUGCAUAACUGAUGGUGGUUUUGAACUCUAUUUCUAUGUAAUUGAUUGUAUGUCCAGCUAAUGAAUCGUGAUCCUUUGUUAAUAAGUAAUUGCAGGGUUCUUAUGAUGAAGACUUCUAUGCGGAGAUACUGAACGAUGAUAUAAUCAAACUAGAUGAAUCUUCGGUGCAUAUGCUGCUCAUAUGAUGCCGGUCGUUGCCAACAACUCAGAGCCUGAACAUCAAUCUCGACAACAUAUGCAAGCCAUUUUGUCGCAAGAAGCUCCUUUCCAAGGUACUGCAAACCUAAGAAUCCAUUUGAGAAAGAGAAAGGAAAAGUUUCGUGCAGAGUCACAGGAAUCUUCCAACUCAGACAAGUCGCCAAAAGGCUUUAGUGAAUAGGAUGAACGAUCGACAUGUGUUAUUAUAUAUAUAUAUAUUUUAGAAAGUAUCUUGGGGUCCAAGAAUGAAUAUUUAAUCAAACGUUUAUUAAUAUUUGCGGUGUAGUUCGGUAUCGGUGCGUUUUCAAAAGUUAAAAUCGAAAUCAAACAGUCUCCUAGACUGCGGUUUGGUUACAAAACCGAAAUUGUGUCAAAAUUGACAAAUCAAACCAUUUGAUACGAUCCGAUUUGAUUCGUGUUUCGUUUUUGUUUCCAAGUGCCUCUACCUAACAUUGAGCCGUGCGAAUUUGAUUAUGGGCCUUGAUAGAGAAGGGCCUUCUUGGGCCUAUAACCAAGGUGGGCCCCUAGGGCUACAAAGGCGAAGAGGACAAGCAAUAGACAUGUUUCUCAAUUUUCCACACAACCGAGUUUAAUGUGGGGUGUUUACCAAAAAGUAAAGAGCUUAAUGUGGGGUUUUUAAAACUUAAAUACAAAUUAAUAAGAAAUGGAUGAUCCCUUGUUUGAUGAAAAAGUUGAAAUUACCCAUUUGACCCUUACAAUUUCCAAUCAGGAAUCCUUGUUACAUUGAUACAACGUUCAAAUAACAGGCCAAAUUAAGGUGGCAUUCUAAAAAUUAAAAUAUUGGUCAAGACGUGACACCUUAUCUCAUUUGUAUUGUUGUCACCUGUGAGCAUCUAACUCAAUUUAUCAACAAACGCACUUGUGGAUUCUUUUUAUCAUCCAAUCUUCCCCAAUUUUAGUCAAAUUUUUAAGUAGUAUAUGCUUUUUUGGGAUUAUGACUGAUAUGGAAUAAUCGGGGAUGUGAUUCUUAAGUCAUUUCAGCUUCUUCCUGGUCACAAGUUUGACUUCCAUACCAGCAACGGGUUUCAAACCCAAGACCUCCAGUUUUUAAUUUAAAAGAAGCCUCGCAAUUGCCUUUUACCACUAGGCCACUGGCUCGUUGUUAAAAUUUUCGGCUCGAUACCUUGUUAAAAUUAGGGUUGAAACACAUUUUCAACACAUAUGAUUCAUUUAUUUAUUGCUUGUGUGACAGGAAAACGGAAAUGAAAAUGAUACCCAUACCUUGCACUCUCAUUUCUUGUCAAUAUAAAGGAUCGUUUGGCGGUGUAUUUAGAUUGGAAAGUUACCUUAGGAUAACAAUAAACGUUUAUGAUUGAGUUGGGCAUAAAAGAUUAAAAAUAAUUUUAAAUUAUAAAAUCACAAUUUGAGCGCCUCUUAGACAAGCACACAACAUGUGAUUCUUUGAGAAGAAAAAAAACUCGCAUUUGGAAGAAGAAAAAAAAACAAAAUUGAUGUGUUUCGAACAAAGCGUUUUUUCCAAAAGUGUUUAUAAGCAGAAUUGAUCUCCCAAACGCUAGAAUAGCACAAACAAUGCACGUAUUCACGCUGAAAUUGCAGCGAAUGCAGGGCAAGGAAAAAAUGAGCAUUGUCCCAAUGCCACUAGAACCACACGUAUUAUAAUUUGUCUUUUGUCCCCCAGUUGGCAGAGUAAGACGGGACAGCCUCCCAUGUGCUGCUGUGCGUAUUGUUUGUUAAAAUAUGUUGACAUCGAAAAACUCUUAUGAUUUUCGUAAUAAGCAAGGGAGUCAACUCUUUAAAUGCGACAAAAGACCGAAACUUCUACUAAACUAACCCCAAUUAAUUAACAAUGAUUUAACCAUAACAACUUUGCACAACCUCGCCUCGUGUCAGAAGCUCGUGAUUUGUAGUCAUCGACUCAUCGAGGUAGUAGGAGGCUGUGAUUGCUAACGGAGCAGGACUUGCAUAGUACUACAAAUACACUGUUAGUGUGAUGUUUCACGCCGUGUUUAAUUGCUCUCUUGAUAAUGUCCUACAUUUACCUCGGGGUUAUAUGAUAUAAGUACAUUGCUGUUGUGAUAUCUCGUGCCGCAUAAGUUGCUCAAUAAUGUCCUAGAUUUACCUCAGUAACAACAUUUUUACACGUUAAUUUACCACCAAAUGAACAUUUUAACAGGUUCUAACUUUAUCCAAAGAGAGAGAAGUUUUGGACUCCAAUAGACGACAAUGUAGCAGAAAGAGUCUUGUACUCAAACGUCUAAAACAGAAAUGCACGUUCAGUUUUUGUCAGCUAAAAGUUUCCAAAACUCAAGGUCAAUAAUUGUAGUUCAAAUGGAGUUCCAAAUCCAAAACAGACGUUCCAACCAACAGAAACUGCCCAAAUAAACUCAGUAACUUACGUCAUCCGGCAUUUUCCGAAAACAGGUCGGUAAGACGAUCUCAAAUCCUUCGUUCCCUUUCGGGUAAACUGAUGAACUAACAUGGUUUGGUACGACUCAAAUGACUUGGAGCACCUCAGGUUCCACAUAACAGCUUUAAGCUUAAGGUAAGGAACCGAGCAAACCCAGCCGGUGUACAAGAAAGCAAUCUAACUACCACCUGGAGGAUUACACCCAUGCAAACAAUUUUCUUGCAGGAAAUACCGAAAACUUAUACGGCAUAAGACUAACAUACCUAGACCGGCAAAUUUAACCCGUCCUGGUCUAUUAAGGGUUGGUGGAUCGGAUCGCAUUGAGAGCACAGAACUGGUCAGUCUUGUAAGUAUUAAUAAGGUUUAAGAUGACAAAGUUUAAUUACUGUGGAAAUGUGAGAUGGCAGCUUGGGGCAAAUUUCUAGCUUUAACCUAACUCACUAACUUAUAUGCCCACAAGGAAUUGGUCUUAGUCAAAUAACACCCCAAUUGUCAUAACUAUGGUGAGAAGAUAAGAUGACAUCUUCAAAAUCCAUUGACAAACUGUUGUGUGUCGCCGUGAAAAUUCUACGAUGCUCCAGUGCACGGCGUACACCGAGCAAAGUAUGGUUGGAUGUGCGGUGCAAGAUCUAGCGGCCAAAAUCCCGGUGCACGCUAUACACUCACAGAGGUGAGUCUUUUUGUCUAACCAUUUCAGGAAGAAGUCUCUACUCAAACAUGAGUGCAACUCAGAGAAACCAAAAUGUGAUCAAAGUUACAAUAUAAUUUUCAUCCACAGCAAUCCCAUUGAGACAGAAAGAUAACGAAUAUGAAUAAAUAAGGAGUUCCUACACAAAUACAAAUAAAAAAGGAAAAAUUCAGAAACAAAAGACAAGGCAACUGAGAUUCUUCCUCUGCUAACAUACAUGAUUUGGCAGUAUAAGCAACACUUGCAGAAUCUCAAAUCCCUUAAACGAUACUAUAUAUUGCUAAUCAUAAUAAAACCGAAAUCCAGAACAACAUACCGCAAACCCGAAUUCCUCAUCCUCAAGAAGCAGAAGAAGGCCGAAUUUCCUCCGCCUCCGAAUUGAACCCAUUUUACGCUCUUCCACCACCUACAUUCCCAUUUUUUUUUAUUAUCAUAAUCCAGCUCAAAUCAGAGAAGUCACUGAAUCAAAUUAUGGCUCGGAAAAAAUCAUUUCUGGGAUUCAUUCCUCUUCCCGAUUCCUUCCCCUUCCCUCUCCUCCAAGAGCCUGCUGGACUCCUCGUCGGGCUGCGCGACCUUCUUCUGCGCAUCCUUGGCCUUCAGAGCCUGCAAUUUAGAGUGGUUGUAGUAGGCAACCCCCAAAAACGCGAGGCCGUAGCCGAACAGAUUGAUCGGGGUCACGGUGUCCUUGAUAACGGACCACGAAAAGGCGAUCAGGAGCCAAUCUUUCACCACUCCGGCAACAUUCAUCGUCAGCGCCGAGGUCUUUCCGACGAGCAAGAACACGGCGAGAUUCAGAGCAAAUGCGCAGACAGAAUUGGUCCCAAAAAUCACGAAAUCGAAAUGGAAGCUCGAGGAAUCGCGCAGAAUCGGGUACUCGACGAAGAUCCAGGGGACGAAGAGGAAAGCCAGACAGCAAGGUGCGACGUAGUAGAGAGAUGUUAUGGGGUUGAGGGUAAUGCCUUUGGAUGUGAGGAGGAUCUGGAUCAAGACAAGGCGGGUGGCCUCGAAUGCGACUGCGCCGAGCUGGAGCAUGACGCCCCAGGUGUCGAAUCGGGCCUCUCCGUAGGCGGCGAUGGCGACGCCGAUGGAAAUGGAGAUCAUGUUGACCAUGGUGUCAGUCUUGAAGGACUCCUUUUUGAAGGAGACGCCAAUGGAGUAGACCGCGACGGGCAUGAGGGCCUUGAGCAUCUGGAUGAAGGAGACGGAGAGGUAGAUGUAGGCGGAGUUGGAGAGCCAGAGGGAGAGGGAGUAGAGAGCGCCGAUGGGGACGACGGAGGAGAGGUAGAGGUCGCGGGACAUGGUGACGGGCUCGACGAGGCGGAAGACGCGGACGAGGAGGAAGGCCAGGGAGGCGCAGAAGGACAUGUGGAUCAUGGUGAGGGAGAUGGGGAAGGGCCAGUUGUACAUCUUCUUGUCGAGGAUGUAUUUGUUGUAGACGAUGACGGUGAAGGAGAGGAAGAUCCAGAUGGCGACGUAGGUGUAGGAGAGGAGGAUCUUUUUUAUCACCCCCUCGCUCAGGGAGCCACCUUUGCCCAUUUUGGAGGUGGGUUUUCGCCGGUGGUGACGGUGGCGAUGGCCGUGGUGGGGGAGAAAGGGAGAGAAGUGAGGAGGAGGAGGAGCAGGAGGAAGAAGUCAGAUUCAAAGUGAUAGAAGAAGGGAGUGAGAGCUGGAUUUUAGUGAGAGAAACGGGGGUAAUAUAAUAAUUAAAAAAUAUUAACUUUGGGAGUGCAUCUGGUGUGGAAGUUUCAUUUUUUAUUUGGUGUGGGAGGGGAGGUGCUAUUUAUUUAGGCUUUUGCGGGAAGAGUCUGCAUUUUUGUGCAAUUUUGCAUUUGAUUUUGAGGUAGUCACGAUUUUUUUGGAUUUGGAUUUAAUUUGUACUUUAAUCGUGGGAUGGGAGGGUGGGGGUGACAACUUUGAAACAUAUAUAUUACUGUCAGGCUUGCAUUAACUUAAAAGAUUAUAGUGCUAAUGCUUAUGAGAUUUUCUGUUCAUAUAUUAUUGUCACGUAUUCAUUAAAAGCAUGUCUAACAGUCUAGUUAAAUGCGAGGUUUUCAUUAUUUUAACAAAAAAUGCAGAAAAAUAAACUCUGACAGGCUAGCUAAUUGACUACCAAUCUUAACUAUGUGAAUAAUAAUUAGCUAAAUUUAGUUAGGAGGAGACAGUUAAAUUUUUGCUAAACAUUAGACUAUAAGAUUGUAUUGUUUGUAGGCUUGAGAAGAAAAAAAAAGGUUUGGGUUGUUAAGUUUAGGAAAAUCAUAUUAAAAUAUUUUAACUUAAGCUAAAAUAGUUAGUAUUGUUGGAUGUGAUGACUAGCCAAAUUAAUAUUUGGGUCAUUUGUUAGCUACAAUAACAAAAAUUUAACUAGCAUUGUUGGAGAUACUCCAACUAAACAUUAGAUAUUGCCAUAAAAAAAACAAACAAAAACUAACAUAAGAUAUUAUAUUUGUUUUUAGUGAUGAAUCUUAUGAUAAAUACAAAAUGAAACAAGAAAAUAUACAUUUACCGUGUCAAUAAUAGUUCCCUUAAAAAUAUACACAUUUAAUACUUCAAUAUGAUGACAUUUUUCUUCACUUGUAAAUAAGAUGUCUCAAACUGGAAUUCCAUAAAUAGCGUAUUCGAUACAAAUUUCUUUCACAUUUUAGUGUAAAUAUAUCGUUAUAUAGAAUAGAAUAAAAUAAAAUAAAAAACAGAUUACAAUCACAUAUUACUACAAUUUAGUAAUAUUAUUGUGCAUUUAUAGAGAAGUCUUAUGAUUGAAUCUUGUAAAUCAGAGUUUGGUACUAAUUUAUCCACGCUAUCUCUUGAUGUAAAUAUAUAAAUUUGAAAGAAAAAAUCAACAGAAAAUAUAAAAACGUCACGAUCAAAAUUUCUAGUGCACACAAUUAAAUGCCUUCCCAAAAAUGAAAAUCCAAACAGCGGCGAGCGUGUGGAAUGAAUGAUGAAGUGAAUUGAAAUGUGAGUUUCAAAUCCGAACGAAAGGGAGCAUAGAUUCGGAUUUAAGGAAGCAGAUCACAAGUUGCUUUACGCGACCUUGUAUAUUGUAAGUCGUUUGAAUCCUCACGUGGGCUGCGCCACGUUGACGAUCUGCGCCACGUGACCUCAGUAUUCGGUAUUCCUAUUCAAUUCAAUACAAAACCGCAACCCUUUUUCUCUAUUUUUGGGUCUGUGGGCUUUCGGGUACGGGCCUUCGGGUACGGGCCUUCUUUUUCAUUUCUUUCUUUUUAACUCUUCAUCAGGGUUGUUGUCGGUGAGAAAAUUCCAAAUAAGGGGAGGGGAUGUGCCUUAUUGGGAGGGUUUAUUGCAUUUCUUCUUCUACCUGGUCCACAUAAAAUAAUCAUUGCAUUGUUCUUCCAAAAUAAAAAUAAUCAUUGCAUUUUUUUGCUAUAUAUAUGCGGUUUGAUUGGGAAAUGAAAUCACAUUAUUUUGGCAAGAGAAUAAAAUUGAUAACAGGCGGAUUUAAACUAUAUUAUUAUAUGAUUGAUAUCUGAUAUAUUGUAAAGCCUACCCCAUUCAUACACCUUUUAAUGUAAAUAGUAUCGUGUAUCACCAAAAAAAAAAUAUUACAACGAGACCCGUCCAGAUCCUAAAACCAUAUAUAUCAAAUUUUAGCAUGAGAAUAGUACUAAAAGGAUUAUUGUUAAACCAAAUACAAAAAUGAUUGUAAAUAUGUUCUAAAUUUACUAAUAGAUCAACGGUAAUAUUUGUCUCUAUGUAUAUAUGAUUAAUAGAAAAUGAGGAAUUUGAUAAAGAAGAUCUCACAUGUCUUCUUAAAUAGUCUUGAUUCUCCUUGGUAUUCGAAUUUGAUGUUGAAUUGCCUGAAUUACUAAUUUCCCUAAUGGCUAGUUGCCCACCAAAACCCUUGUUCUUUCCCCAAUUAUUUCAUUUGAAAACUCGACCUGGAUUUUGACAGGUAACCAAUUUGUGAUGCGGAACGAUCCCAAGUGCUUCUUGGUUGUUAAGUUCUUCUCAAAUUAGGAUUAAUAGUCAGGCAAAUAUGUGUGAUUUAUUUGUGUUUUUUCUCUGAGCAUUUUUUUCUGAUAUAAUUCAUUAAUUCUAAUAAAAUAACUAUUGAAUAAAAGAGCUUAAUGCAGAAGAACUUUUUAAAAUGCUGAGCUGCUAGGCUGCUGAACGUGUUAUAUCACUUACUAUAAAGUUAUAUAAACCUAGUGCACUAUGCAUCGAUGAAUAAAUUACUUGUAAAGGCUUAUAAAAGGUUAAAUUACUCUUUAUAUAGCUAAUAAGUUUUAUGGUGGAACCUUAAUUUUUUUCAUAAUAUCAUAGCGUGUUAGUCCACGUGUGAAGCUCAACGGCCGCACGUGCUUCACGUCACUCAAUUCGUGUUGUCCACGUUUUUUGUUAGAACACACGUGUGAGGGGAUGUGUUAGAAGUGAAGGUAAAAAGAGUCCAACAUUAAUGAAAUGAGAAGCCUUGUAAGAGUUUAUAAGAGGUUAAGUUACAUUCUAUAUUGCCAAUUAGCUUAUAACUAUUGCUUUUUAAUAAGUUUUUAGAGCAACUCCAGUGUAGGAGCCCUCCCCCCAAGCUAUUCACUAUUUAAUCCACCCAGUGAACAGUCACUGCCCUUAAUGAAUAGUGCAUUCCCCUGGCAAUUGCCUUUUGCAUCUCCACCCCUACACUGAAUAGCCCUAGCAAUUGGUAAUAAAAUAUUAUUAUUUUUUUUAUUUAUAAAAUAAUACAAUAAUUUUAUUUGUAAUUUCGGAUAAGAUUUUUAAUCGUUCUCGUUGCGUCACGUCUCAUUAUCCGAAAAGCCAAUAGCAAUAAAAAUUUUGUAUUUUUGUAUUUAUAAAAUAAUUCAAAAGAAUUUUAUUUGUUAUUUCGGAUAAGAUUUUUAAUCUUUCUCGUUGCGUCAUGUGUCAUUAUCCGCAAACACAAUUAUUGGUGAUGGAUGUGAAGCGUUGUUUCGGUAUCCUCCAAGCUCGCUAGGCGAUCAUCAGGGGUGCUGCCAGAUUGUUUGAUGUAGAGUCGCUUCGAUCCAUCAUGAUAAUGUGCAUCAUUCUUCACAACAUGAUUGUAGAAGAUGAGUACGAUUAUGAAGCCGUUGAUGAAUAUGAGCUAGACAUGAUGAACAAUUCAAGAACACAUAUAUAUUGUGCUCAUGACACCACCGAUGAGCCCGUGCAACAUGAGCCAUUAGAAAGGGAUGGACGUUACAAUGAAAGGAUCAUUCAACGAUAUACUGCACUUUAAAGGCCAUAUAUGCACAAUGCCCGCCAAUUUGACUUGAUAAAGCACCAGUGGGAAUUGAGGGGUGCUGAAGAUACUUAAGUUCAUUAGUGUUUGUUUUUAUUUGGUGUGUUUAUUUUAUUUUAUGUGGUGUGUUUUUUUAGUUCAUUUAGUGAGUUGAAAUGUAAUUUUAUUUGGUGUGUUUAUUUUAUUUUAUGUGGUAUGUUUUUUUAGUUCAUUUAGUGAGUUGAAAUGUAAUUUUAUUUGGUGUUUGUUUUUUUUUUGGUGUGUUGAUGUUAUUUUAUUUGGUGUGUUUAAAUGUGUUUUGGAUAAAGUACUAAAUUCAAUAAAUUGGAAACAACAUAAAAUACUAAAUUCAAUAAAUUACCAAAUGAAAUAAAUAUACUUUUAGUUUAAAUAAAGUACUAAAUUCAAUAAAUUGGAAACAACAUAAAGUACUAUAUUCAAUGAAUAAGAAAUUACAACCCAAAUUGAUUGGAAAAUUAUGGGUUCGUGAAUGGAUAACCAUCACCUAACCAAUUUGUGGUGCUAGGAUGACCUUCUCUUGUCGUGCUAGGACCAUCUCCUCUUGCUCUCGCUUCUCUUGCACGCCUCCUUCGCACCACGUCCGCUUUCUCCGACUUCCAAAAAUAUUUAGAGUCUAGAGACUUCCCUUCUAAAGGCUCAUUCAUAAUGUCACGAUCUCGUUCAGCCAUUCUUUCUUCUCUUCUAUGUUCCCUUUCUUGCCGAAGUAGUUCUCUUUCUCUUUCAUCAGCUUCAAAUUUUUUUCUCAAAAGCUGCAGCUUUUGCAUCCUCUUUAGCCUUAUCAGCCUCAAAUUUAGCCAUUUCCCAGGCCAAAUUCAAUUCACCUUGGCGGACAAGUUCUUCCAUAUACUUUGCAUAAUCAUUCUUGGAAGCAUUACCUUUUCUCUUUGAAGCCUUCUUACCUUGAGGCCUAAUUGGAAAACGGGUCAACCCCGACGCUUGUUCAACGGGGGGCGUUUCAGGCACUUCUUCAUAAUCAUCUUCAUCAUGAUCAUGUGAGGCAUGCUCGGGUGUAGAGUGUAGAGGGGUGCUGUUCAUGAAAACUUAUGGACUGACAUGCACAACUUUAAAUUUAGGACAAUCUUUGACAAUAUUCCAACAUUCAAACCGGGUGAAUGUUUUGUUUUUGCUUUUGGUUUUGGCACCAUACCAAGCUUGUGCUUGAAGUUCCUACACAAUGCGGGAGAAUAAAUAAUUAUAAUGAGAAUAGGUAACAAAUAAAUAAUACAAACAAAUAAUUAUAAUGAAAGUAGGUAACAAAUAAAUAAUACAAACAAAUAAUUAUAAUGAAAGUAGGUAACAAAUAAUACAAACAAAUAAAUAUAAUGAAAGUAGCUAACAAAUAAUUAUAAUGAAAGUAGGUAACAAAUAAAUAAUACAAACAAAUAAUUAUAAUGAAAGUAGGUAACAAAUAAAUAAUACAAACAAAUAAUUAUAAUGAAAGUAGCUAACAAAUAAUUAUAAUGAAAGUAGGUAACAAAUAAAUAAUACAUACAAAUAAAUAUAAUGAAACUAGCUAACAAAUAAUUAUAAUGAAAGUAGGUAACAAAUAAAUAAUACAAACAAAUAAAUAUAAUGAAAGUAGCUAACAAAUAAUACAAACAAAUAAAUAAUAUAUUGUUACCUGAUCCGCUAAAUUUUCCCCACUUCGAAGAUUACCACUAGCUUGUGCCAAGGCGUCUCUCCACGUACUAAACGAUUGACUAAGUAAUUUCCAACGACUGGACAUCGAUUCUUUAGUUCUUUGCCCACCCAUUUUCUCAAGAUAAUUCGUAUGAAUAAGACUCCACAUUUCUCGCAACUGCAUUUCAUUACCCGUAAUCGAAUCAUGAGUAACUUGAACCCAACUAGUACACAACGCAACAUCUUCAAGAAGCGUCCAAUUCAUACCUGCUUGAGUAGUCAUUUUGUUGGAAAAAAAUUGGAUUGAAACUUUGAGAGAAAGAUAGGAAUGUGGUUGAAAGUAGUUGAUAAAAUAUGAAAUUGUGGUGUAUGGUAGAAGAUAAUGAGAAGGUAUUUAUAGAAAAGUAAAAUCAAAUUUUUUUUAUAAUUUUUCAUAAUUUUUUUUUUGAAUUUUUAAGAACUUUUUACAUUUUUUUAAAAAUUUUUAUUCACCUAAUUAAUCUCUGCCAUUGGAUUUUAAAAAAUUUUAAUUUCAGCACUCCAGAUUGUGCCACGUGUCACAACGGUAACAUUUUAUAUUUUUAAAUUGUUUUUUCUUUUUUUUUUAAUUUACAAAGCCUAAUAAUGUGGACCGUUGAUCUUAGAUUAAACGGAUGAAAUUAAAUGAGAUUUUUAAAUGUUUUUUACCGUUGGAAAUCCAACGGUCCAUAAAAUAGGACCGUUUCAAUCGAACGGACAUGGGGAAGCCAUGUAGCUUCCCCAACGGUAACUUUUCACAACUAACGUUGCGGGCCCCAGCCCUGUUUUUUUGUCGGAAGACUCGCGCCCACGCGGGUGUGAAACGCACGCGCCUGACGCAGCCCUCGGGCUCUCAGGCUGGCAAUCCUCGACGGGCCUGCUCCUCGGGCCUCGCCUGUCGCUCGAGCUUCCCAACGCUGGAGGUCAUCCCCUCAGCAAUUUGCUACUGUUUGGAGGCCUGGCCCCCGAGCAACCUCCCCCGCUGGAGGUGCUCUUAGGGUAGAGAUUUUCAUACAAACAAUGUGAAUUACUAGCAAGGCCCUUUCUAAUUAAGAAUCUUAAUUAUGAAUUAAAGACUUAAUUAUCAAGAUUUUGGAGUCGAUACUGUUAUUUACACUAAUAUUGUUUAAUUUAACCACUUGCAUAACCCAACAAAUGAUAAGUUGUCAAGUUUCUAAUAUAGAAAUUAGUGCCUUCUCGAGAUUAAUAUGAAAUUGACCGGUCAGCCAGCACUCAAACUGUCAAACAAGUCCAAAAUUUUGGACAAAUGAAAGUGAAGUCUACGUUUGGACAAAUGAAAGUGAAGGCUACGCUAAGAAAGUUGCAGAGCUUAAUUAAUUAUUGCUUUGGAAAUGUGUGUUAGGAGACAAGAAUCCUUUGCAAAGAAUGUAACUUCAUGAAGUGUCAAUUAUGUUAGAAGAAAAAUGUUUAUUCCGUUCAUAUUUAGAAAAGAAAUGGUAGUAUCCUUGGGUUAGAAUUUUGGGUUACAAGUUAAAUAUGGUAACGUAUGGGGAGUUGUUAGCUUAGAAUCAUAACGAUUGGGAAGAUGUGAAUAUGUGAGGAGAAAUUACACUUUAUAUGAUUAAAUUUUUAGAGUAUUAAUAAUAAUUAUAAAGAUGUAAAGAAAUGUCUUACAUUAGAAAGUUAAAAAAAUAAUAUUAUAAUUGCUUAAUUGGUUUUUAUAAAAUAGCUUAAAGCUGAUCAAAUUACCGUACUUUGUUGUUCUCUAUUCUCAUUCUUGUGUUUACUAACAAUCAAUGAUUAGAAAUAAAUGAGUGAUUCUCAUUUAUCUGUUUACUAACACCAAAAGAAUGAUAAAAAUAAUGCAUAUAGUGACUAUCCCAUUCCUUUUAAUGGUAAGUAAACAUUAAGAGCAUCUCCAACAUGUGCGACUUGGUUUGGGUCAUUCGGCCCCCAUCUUUGUUUGUGCGGGUGCUGAACAAGGACAGACUACCUUGCCCACCUAGUUAGUUCUUUUGUUGGUUGUAAGGGAUGGCAUGGUUUUGUUUCAUGCCCUUCAAUCUCCCUUAAGCCAUCUCCAACCGAGCCGACCAAAGGGUUAUAGGCCAAAACAUAGUUUGUUUUGACACAAAACCUAUCUCCAAUUAAGGUUGGGCUAAAAAAAUUUAGGACCCACCAUGCCAAAAUAUAACCAAAUGGCCAGAGGGCUGGGCAAACUUAGACAGUCAGCCAACCCUGAAAGUUGGGGCUAGUUGUGAUGCUACUUGACGUCAUAUAGCCUUUUUUUAAGACAAAAUAAAAAAUUCUAACUUUUUCCAAUAAAUACCUAAGUCAUUUCCACACCAUUUCUCACAUCAUUUUCACCCUUCCAUACUAUUUUACCUCAUUUUAAUGUCUAAGUUGUUCACAUGCAAGUAAAAUUAAAAUAUUUAAUAACAUGAAACUUAAAACGACAUUUAGCGAUAAGUAGCCCUCAAAAUAUGUCCGGAAACCUUAUUUUAAUAUGGAAGUUUAAUUCAAUAAACCGACAAAAUUACAGACCAAACUUAAAAUAAUAAAUUAUUGAGGGGGCUAAAAAAAUAGCCCCCUUCGGUUGGGGAUUGUAUAUAGAUAUGGUCUGACAUUGUUCAUUAAAAAAUAAUUUCUUGCAAGGCUAUAAUCUGGACAGAGGCCCUUCAAGAAAUUAUUUUUUUAUGAACAGUGCCAAGCCAUAUUUAUAUAUCAUAUCCAACCAAGCGGGCCAAAUGGUCAUAGGCCAAAACAUAAUUCGUUUUGACACAAAACCCAUUUCCAACUGAAGAUGGCUAUUUUUUAGCCCCCUCAAUAAUUUAUUAUUUUAAACUUGUUCUUUAAUUUAUUAGUUAAUUGAAUUAAACUAACAUAUUAAAAUAAGGUAAGAUAGUAUGGAAUUGUGAAAAGAAUGUGAGAAAUGACUUAGGUAUCUAUAGAAAAAAAAAAUUAGAAUAUUUUUUUUUUAAAUUUCAUCUGAAAAAAAAAAUUCAAAUUCCAACGGCUACAUGACAUCAGCUAGUCGUUGCUAGUUGGCGUCAGGAUGACGUCAUGUUAUCGUUGGACUGGAUUGGGUUUACCCAAAUCGGGCUAGCUGGUUAACUUUCUUUGGCUACCCUGCAAGCCUUGUGGCUGAUUUAUGGCCUAAUGGAUCCCGCAAGCCUUUUGGCCCAACCCUCGGUUGGAGACUGCUUUUGUGUCAAAACGGACUAUGUUUUGGCCUAUGGUCAUUUGGCGGCUCAGUUGGAGACGACCUUACUUCCAAUUAUUUUCCUAUGCAUUUGCUUGCCUUUAGUGGCUUUCUCGUUCUAUUGGCUUUGACCCUGACAAUGAAAUAUUCCCAGUUAUAAAAAAAAAAAAAAAAAAAAAAAAGCAUCUCCAACAGAUAAUUUGUUAACCCACAUGACAAUUUGAAAAUUAAAUUUUUUUUAUCACAAUUUUGCUCCACAUAUAAAAAAUUUACUAAGUUUUAUUAAAUUAAUAGUCUUAUUAAAUAUUAAAUUAAGACUCUAAGGGGGCGUUUGUUUGCCCUCACUAAGUGGGACUGGACUGGACUGGACUAGCUGUUAGUCCAAUACUGUGUUUGUUCGAUGCUGGGACUAACAUUAAUGAGACUAAAGGGGACUACCAUGGACAAAACCCUUCACUAAGAGGUCUUAGCGAGACCCCCCAAUAACCAUGGGACUAACUAAGACUAUCAUCUCUCGUCCUCGUCAUGCUCAACAACCACUCCCGAUAGACUCCUAAUCAUCUCCGGUCACCUAGAUCAUAAUAAAAUAUUAAUAAUUUAUAUAUUAAAUAAUAUAAUAUUAGAAUUUGUUAUUAUCCAGCUUCUUAGUCUAACACUGCACCAAACGCUUCACUAAGUUAGUCUAGCUUAGUCUAGUCUAAACCAGUCCAACUUAGUCCUUGAAGCUAGUCCAGUCCGAGAUAGUCCGGCGCAACAAACGCCCCCUAAGGGAUCAUGAGAGAGCAGAACGUUUCGUCCUAUCAUAGUGACAAAUUUGUUUUUUUUUUUUUUUUUUUGAAACAGAACCAAGGCCGAAGCCGAAACAGCAAGAGAGCCAACGAAUGGCGAACACCAAACAGGCACAAAGAGAAAAGACGAUGGAAGGGGAUACAAACAAGCAGACACUACAACCAGGUUGAGUGUCACCCCAACCACCGCAACUACAACUCAAGGCGGACAAGGAAGACCAUCCUUAUUCAGAACGUGCACCAACGAAGAUGGGGGUCUGUCAACCCAAACCCGAUCACACAUCUCCGGGCAGCCAACCGACGCAAGAAAGUCCGCCAAAGAAUUCGCUAAUCUUGGAACCCAAGACCAGCGACAGAACUGGAAAGCUUCACUCAACUGCUUGACCCGAGCCAAGAUAGGAAAAGCCUCCCAACUGCCAGAAUCCAAAUUGCCAGAAAGACAAGAAAUGGAUUCACGAGAAUCCGACUCCAAAAUGACAGAGCUACAGCCCAAAGCGGAACCCAAUUCACAGCCACGCAAUAACGCACAAGCCUCAGCCGCAGCAACACUGGGGGACAAGAUAGCAUACCUCGCAGCCGCCACAAAACUCCCCCCCUCCGCCCGCAUAACCACCCCAACAAAACCCGAUUUAGACCCCUGAGACCAGCUAGCAUCAACAUUGAUUUUAAAGAAAGGAGAGGUUGGAGGGAUCCACCGAGGAACUAAACACUGCCGAGCAGGACCCACCAAAUUUUCAAUCUGCGACAAACCCUCGGCCUCCCAGUAAGACCCGACAGCAAAGGCAACCUCCCUCAAGACGGACAUAGGAUGAACGGGGACCUGAUUAAAAACAAAGUUGCAACGAGCUUUCCAAAUACUCCAACAAGUAAAAGCAACAUAAGAUUGAACCCACGUUACCUCAGCCGAAUACCCUAGAGAAAGAUUGAACACAGCCUGCAACCAAUUCGCCCACGAAGUGAUACCCUCCCUAUCCAACCGAUAAUUAAGAGCACCACCAAACCAAAUGGCUGCAACGCACGGACACAUGAGGAAUAGAUGCUCCACAGAUUCAUCCUGGCAAAGACAAAUGGGACACACUGGGGAAGGGGAAGAACGCCGACGGAAGAGCACCUCUCUAGUGGGCAGGGCCUUAUGCAAGGAUAACCAAAAGAAAUGACGGAGUUUAUGAGGCCCUCGCAAAAGCCAGACCAUGCGCCAUAACUGCCUUGGAACCAAGCGAGCACCAUGCUGGCGUUGAUCCCGUAGCCCGACAGACCGAGAUUGCAGCCAGUGGUAGCCCGAUCGAACUGAAUACUUCCCAUUCUUACUCACAUCCCAAACUAGACGAUCUUGCCGACAAAGAUCACCAAUAGGGGUAAGACAGAUAGCAUUUUGCUCCACCUCCGAUAUAAACUCUUGCAAAAAACUAAUAUCCCACGUAUGAGACUCCGGCCGAAUAAGAGACUAAACCCUUAAGCUAGGAGUAACCGCAACCUCCCCAAUCGGAACAGGAUGUCCCACAGGUAAUGAUGGAAGCCAGCGGUCCACCCAAACACGUACAUCCGCUCCACUCAUGAUUUGCCAGUGAGAACCAUUCCGUAAAACCUCUCUACCAAUCAGAAUACUACUUCAAGCCCAGGAAGCCCUCCCACCUUUUUUGGCAUCCCAAAAAGAACAGUGCGGAAAAUAACGAGCCUUAAGAACUCGAGCCCAGAGGGAAUUCGGAUCAGUGAUCAACCGCCAACACUGCUUAGCCAACAAAGCGUCAUUAAAUUCACCGAAAUUCCGAAAACCCAAACCGCCCAUCAUCUUUGGAAGACCAAGAACAGCCUUAGAAACCCAAUGUGUCUUCCUCCGAUCCCCAAGACUGCCCCACCAGAACCCAGCCACCAAAGCAUCCAACUCCUGACAGACAAUAGCGGGAAAUUUAAAAAUGUGCAUCGAGUAUACAGGGAUUGCUUGAACCACAGCCUUGAUCAAGACUUCUUUCCCAGCUCGGGAUAAAGUACACUGUUUCCAACCUUGCAACUUACCCAGAAUUUUUCCUUUAAUAUAGGCAAGACCACGUUUUUUAGAUCGCCCCCAAAUAGUUGGAACACCUUAAUAAGUUCCAGGAUUAGCAACCGCUGGAAUGCCAAGAACAUUAACCAACUCAUUGGAAACUUGCAUAGAAACAUUCGCCCCAAAGUAAACACUCGAUUUUUGCAAAUUAACUUGCUGACCAGAAGCCUCACAGUACCACCCCAGAAUGUCCACCAGAUUCCGACAAUUUUUAGUAUCAGCCUUUAGAAAAAGAAGAGUAUCAUCCGCGAAAAACAUAUGAGAAAUGACGGGCCCCGAUACUCCAAUCUUCACUCCGUCCAACAGAUGCGAAUCCACUGCCUCUUGAAGUAGAGAAGAAAUGACCUCUCCAACCAUCAGGAACAUAUAAGGGGAGAGAGGAUCCCCCUGCCUGAGACCCCGAGAAGGAGUGAACUGCUGUCCGGGUUGACCAUUAAUGAGGACCGCAAACUGCACCGAAGACACACACCUCAUAAUUAAAUGCCGCCAUUCACUGCAAAAUCCCAUCCUAGCCAUAAUAGCAUCAAGGAAGUCCCAUUCCACACGAUCAUAGGCUUUCUGCAUAUCCAGUUUAAUACCCAUCUUAAACUUAUUUCUAGCUUUUCGCCCUUUUAAGAACUGAAAAAGCUCAUGAGCUAUGCCAACAUUAUCAUGGAUCAUCCGACCAGCCACAAAGGCAUUAUGCGAGGGAGAAAUAAUACGCGACAGAACACCCUUUAACCGAUUCGCAAGAACCUUAGCCAGCACCUUAUAAGAGUAAUUGCAAAGACUAAUGGGACGAAAUUGCGAAACCGACUCCGGAUGUGAAACCUUAGGAAUUAGAACCACGUGGGUAGCAUUGAGCGUACACGGGUUGGCAGAUUCAUGCAUCAAAGAUUUGAUCAAGCUGUUAACAUCAUCCUUCAGCUGCUCCCAAAAGGAUUGAUAAAAAAUCCCUUGGAAACCAUCCGGCCCGGGAGCUUUGAGGCUGCCCAUAUGUAACGCAGCCUCCUGAACUUCCUGCUCGGACACCGGCGCAAUUAACGCCUGAUUCAUAGCCUCAGAAACAUCCUGGUGAAGACAAUCCAAGAUAGAACCCCAAUUCCUAGGACCCCCCGACUGGAAUAAGGAGAUAAAAUGAUCCUCAACUAACUCCCGGACCCUGCGGGGAUGCUCAACCCAUUGCCCAUCCCCAUCCAUCAAAGUGAAGAUCGUGUUCCGCCUGCGACGUUGAAGUGUAGAUUGAUGGAAGAAUUUAGUAUUUGCAUCACCCUCACGCAGCCAUUGAACACGAGAUCGUUGAUGCCAAUAACUUUCCUCCGGAGGUCAUCAAGUAAUAUGACUUUAUAAUAGUAAAUAAUUUUUUGGGUGUAGAAGAAUAGAAGUUAAAAAGUUAGCUACGUGGACGAGAGAUAAUGUUAGGGCCCCUCCACAGACAAAGUGGCCUCCCUCUUCCCUGCAAUUGCGAUGCGACCUCCCAGUUUAUUUAUUUUUUAUUUUUUGAGAUUUAAAUUAAAUAUUAAAAAAUCAAGAAACAAAAUUAAUGCAGAACAACAAAAAUCAUUUCCAUGUUUCUUUGACCACAAAACCCGUAAAGUUGUGUUUAAGUGGUCGUUCACCUUUUUCGAAAGAUGUUUCAGUUUUUUUGGCCUUUGCUUUUGUCACCACAAUCAUUUUCCAUGUACUCGUUGUUUUUUUUUUCCUUAGAUUUGGUAACUUUUUUGAAAAGAAGCUUAUGAGGAGGGUCCAGUUGGAUGGACAAGGAACUUAAAAACACAAACCAAAGUAUAAACUUUACUUAAUAUUGUCACAAAGUUUCAUGUAAUGUUGGGAAAAAAAAAUUGUUCAAUUUCUUAUGUGCGUAUGUCUAUAAUUGUAACAUAUUUACUUAUUAUGAAAUAAAUAUGUAGGGAGUCAAAGAACUCGAGAGUAGCAGAAUGAAUGUGAAUCAUAUUAUUUAUUACUCCUAGUUUAUUUCAUUUCUGGUUUUGAAAGCAUGGAAUUACUGAUUUUAGGGUAGGUUUAGUAAAAUUGGGGUUUCUAAUGAUUUUACAAUAUUCAAGUGUUGAACUAAUCAAUUUUAAAAAAUGGUGAGUCAAUAAAGAUGAAAUCCGAGUGAUGUGAUGGGUUUAUAAGAGUGUCAAUUCUGUUUCACAAUCAAGAUUUAGCUUUUCAUCAUUUAAACUAGUUGCCAAAUUAUUAUUUAGAUGUUAGUUGAAGAAAGUCAAAAGUUGGAAUAAAUUAUUAGUUCUUAUAGACUCUAUCCUUUUUGGGAAAGUAAAUAUAUUAUAAAAAAACAUGUUUAUAAACAACAAGCGUUUGUAGUCCAACGGUUAGGAUAAUUGCCUUCCAAGCAAUAGACCCGGGUUCGACUCCCGGCAAACGCAUUUUUGCAUUACGUAGGCAAAAUCUUCCAGUUUUCAUUAGCUAUAAGCGAUUGUUGCUCUAUUAUCUUCAAUUUUUAAUUUAUAUUAUUACCUAGGCAAAAUAAUUCUCUUUUUCUUGUCAAAAAGAGAAACAAAUAAAACAAAAAAUAAUCUACCACGGCUGGAAG
RNAcentral lists this long non-coding RNA (39327 nucleotides) under Malus domestica (apple). Its description in RNAcentral is "long non-coding RNA (MDOM_LNC014551)". The stretch from base 1425 to 1730 matches the Rfam family "Plant signal recognition particle RNA". Lineage: Eukaryota; Viridiplantae; Streptophyta; Magnoliopsida; Rosales; Rosaceae. The record is from RNAcentral.